GCACAGAUUUUGAGCACAGAUCGAGUUGAUGGCAUGAUUGUAAAAACCCAGACCAAGGCAAAGUAUGCAUCAUUCUGACGAAAUAUAUCUUCAAAUAACCUAGAGGAUUUUUUCUGAUCCCUCGAUCCUUCGAUCAGCAUCAGCACAAAUAUUUGAAGUGGGCAUGGCGCGAGAGCUCUCGUAUGGGUGGUCAACAAAAAGUCAACGCUUACAGGUCUACACUCAGCGGCGUCAGAGAUUCGGCUGCACGUAUAAACUCGGCUGUUGCUGAAAAAAAAAGUAAUUUAACAGAUUGGUCGCACAUGAUUUGACCACAGAUAAUCUGGAAUAGAAACUUUUGAUUCCAAGUUCUUGAAAAGGGUGUUAAACAGCUUCCUACACAAACAGUACGCAAAUCGUCGAACACUUUUCAGGAGGUCGUCUAUAGGAAGUAACAUUCUUUCCCCGCCAGCGAAAACUAAUUUUAGACAUCGGGCAUUGUCAGUUUUGUCUGUGUAAAGUACAUCUGUCUUUCUUUACAUUUUGAAAAUUUAUCUGUAUACAUGGGAAUUGCUAAUCUGAGUCCUCAUUGUUCUGCGAUGAUGAUAGAUACAGCCGAUGUCGCUGUUUUCACAAGAAUAUGAUGUUCAUCCGUGUUCAUCCGUAGAAGCCGUGUGGAUACGCUAACAUAGCAAUGAAACAGCUCUCGAAAGCACCACUGGGAAGAGGAAUGCAUUCUAAGCAAGCGGAUCAACAAGAAAGAUCUAUGAGUUUAGAAAUAUCUCUACCUUCUGGUGAAACUGUCAUAGGAAGGGUGAACACAAAUGUGUUCAUGGCAAAUGGGAAUGUUCAGAUUCCUUCAACAGAACAAGAAGUACACUUUGUGUCUCUAGAAUGGCCAAAAGACAUACAGCCAGUGAUAUUCUUUACACACUGGCAUUCCACAAUCUCCACCCCGUUCCAUGAAAGAAUUAUUAAAUUUCACAUCAGCACUGCAGAGAACAUCAGCAGCAAUAAAUGGGAAAUGCUACAAGAGGUGGUAAAAAAAUGCCACUUUUCUUUUGGAGCACAGUUGCUGGAGGUGACAUCUUGCAGGGUCAAGCUCGGUCAUCCUAGUGUGUUGUCACCUUAUAAGAUACAGCCACUGGAGGAACAGAUGAAAGACACAUUAUCAUGCCUUUUUGCAGAUACAGAGUAUGAGUAUUGUGAUUUCAUGGUAAAUUGGGAUGUAACAAUCUCCAUGGGUGAAAAUUUACACUUGUGUGAACUGCUUCAACCACUGAACUCUACACAAUGUAGUCUUUCUGAGGAUGUUCACUCUCCAUCAUCUUCAAGAGAUGGUCAGUCAGAGGGACAACAGUUAUCUCCAGAAGCUGAAGUGGAAAGUGACCAGCAAGGUGGGCAGAUGCAGACAGAUAUUACAGCAGAAGUGCAUGCUUUGAGGCAGAUUGUGUCCAAGCUAGAUCGACAAGUGAAUAGUCAGUUUGACAAAGUUUUCAAACAAUUGAAUGAACUUCGAAAGAUAAUGAUGAGCACAACUUUGCAAAAUCCUUCGUCUUUCCACAAAAUGACCUCAAGACACCCAGUCAGGACCAGCCCAUCUCCUGAAAAAAAGGAUGAUAGAAAUACGUUGCCUUUGUCAGAAACAUCAAUACAGCAAACCAGGGUGACUGACAAAAGUGCAAAGACAAAAGCCAAGCAUAGCAGAGCAGAUCUCAAAGAAAGACCUCAGAGCACCAAGCAUCAGACUGUUCCUGCCAGAGAAAUUUCUAAAGCAAAUGAUAGGGGUGGAAAAAGUGACAGUGAAAAAUCAAUACAUAAGUCUUCCAGAGGAGAUUUAGUGGAGGAUUCUCCUGAUGAUUACCACCAUGUUAAUGAUAAAGAUACCAAUGUUGACAGACAAGAACUAGGGGAAGAAAUAAAACCAAGUAGGCACAAACCUAGAGGGAUCAACAGCAAUAUCUCAACAUACAGCAACUAUGAUAACAGCAACUCCAUUUCACAACAAAUACCACCAACAAUAUCUUUAAAUGAAAGCAAACAGCAGGAGUCUUCCUGUAAUUCAGCAGCACCUCAUUAAAGCAGACAAAAAGUUCAACACUGCAGGAAUCUACACAUCCUUCCAGAGAUAAACAGUUAAAGAGGACAUCAGAUCCUUCAAGUUACAGAGAAACAGGCUUCACAAAAGAAACACCAUCAAAGCCAUCAAAAACCCACCAAAAAAUACAUAAAAUGAAAUCAUCAG
This 2224-nucleotide unclassified non-coding RNA is filed under the name Pomacea canaliculata. RNAcentral's name for it is "uncharacterized LOC112559026, transcript variant X1". The record is from RNAcentral. Lineage: Eukaryota; Metazoa; Mollusca; Gastropoda; Architaenioglossa; Ampullariidae.